RNAcentral lists this long non-coding RNA (1043 nucleotides) under Triticum aestivum (bread wheat). RNAcentral's name for it is "long non-coding RNA (TAES_LNC019829)". The record is from RNAcentral. Lineage: Eukaryota; Viridiplantae; Streptophyta; Magnoliopsida; Poales; Poaceae.
CAGAUCUAGCUACACAAGACAAUCACUUUCGCCCACUCGAAAAAGAAAGACAAUCGCUUUCGAAAUAGAAAAGAAUCGCACUUCUUGUAAAUUAAUUUUUGUAUGAAAAUUGUUUGGUUCCAUAGGUGGACAAAACACCCGGAUUCUGGAUAUCUUGGAAAGGUUGCUGAGCCGAACACACGGGCUCUGUCGGAAGGAACCAAGGUUCUUCACCAAACCUCACCAGACACCAGCAACUUGCCUCAGCCUUUUCUAUCUACUCUUAUAUCAUUCUGAGUUUGACCAAUCAGAAGCACGUCUCAUCGCCGAUCUGCGCGAGUGCCUGACUUGCGAGUUCGUCUUCGAUGCUUCCUCCUUCGAUCUUGGCGACCGGUCAGUUCACCUGUGCCGGUCGAGGUUGUCCGUUGACGGGUUCCUUUCCGGUCAGCCUGUGUCGCGGCGAGACCUGCUGGUUCUAAAAAACACAAGGAAGACAUGGACCUCAAGGCUACCAGUCUGACAUGCCACUCACCUGAAAGAGGAGAGCUGAAAGAGGAGAAGGCAGCAGGACGAAGCUCGCGGAUGGUGCAGAUGAUCGUCACCGUUGAUGCCGAUGCCACAUGUGGAGUAGCACAUCAAUGAAACGAAUCUGCGGGAGGUUUGGCUGGUGUGCUCCCAUUCUGCAAGGCGUUUCGUCGUGUCAACCAUGCCGUCAAAUGCUUCUUUUUUUUUUGCGUAUAAUGCCGUCAAAUGCAUAGAAAACAGUCGUUAUGAAGACAAGCAAGUGUAUAGAAGAGAAGAGUUACGGAUGUAAUGAGCUUGUAGAAAGUUCACCCCUAAAAAACAGAGCUUGUAAAAAGUUCUCCGGUGUUCAUCUAAAAGAAGAAGGUUCUGCAUUGUCAAUCAAUUUUGUAAUGUAUACUUGCGUGGUUGAGUCAACCAUACCGUCAAAUGUACAGAAAAGAGUCGUUAUCAAGACAAAACAAGUAGUAGAAAAUAAGAGUCGCGGUUAAGCUCGUAAAGUACUCCAGUGCUAAUUUUGUAUAGUAUAUAAUGCACUUGCG